This 634-nucleotide ribosomal RNA is filed under the name Salmonella enterica. RNAcentral's name for it is "partial 23S ribosomal RNA". It matches the Rfam family "Bacterial large subunit ribosomal RNA", at positions 711 to 1257 of the family's 2925-position model. The record is from RNAcentral. Lineage: Bacteria; Pseudomonadati; Pseudomonadota; Gammaproteobacteria; Enterobacterales; Enterobacteriaceae.
AGACCCGAAACCCGGUGAUCUAGCCAUGGGCAGGUUGAAGGUUGGGUAACACUAACUGGAGGACCGAACCGACUAAUGUUGAAAAAUUAGCGGAUGACCUGUGGCUGGGGGUGAAAGGCCAAUCAAACCGGGAGAUAGCUGGUUCUCCCCGAAAGCUAUUUAGGUAGCGCCUCGUGAAUUCAUCUCCGGGGGUAGAGCACUGUUUCGGCUAGGGGGCCAUCCCGGCUUACCAACCCGAUGCAAACUGCGAAUACCGGAGAAUGUUAUCACGGGAGACACACGGCGGGUGCUAACGUCCGUCGUGAAGAGGGAAACAACCCAGACCGCCAGCUAAGGUCCCAAAGUCAUGGUUAAGUGGGAAACGAUGUGGGAAGGCCCAGACAGCCAGGAUGUUGGCUUAGAAGCAGCCAUCAUUUAAAGAAAGCGUAAUAGCUCACUGGUCGAGUCGGCCUGCGCGGAAGAUGUAACGGGGCUAAACCAUGCACCGAAGCUGCGGCAGCGAACGUAUCACCCAAGACAACUUUACGGAGUUGACGAUUGACGGAGCGAAGCGACGUCAAAGCGUUCAUUAAAGUCGAGUUGGCUUAGGGAUACGUUCGUUGGGUAGGGGAGCGUUCUGUAAGCCUGUGAAGGU